GCCAUAAUGGCACAGUGGUUAUUGCUCUGUACUGGUAAUUUCUUAAUUUCUUAUUCGGUCGCUGGUUCGAUCCUCGCUUCUAACA
Molecule: non-coding RNA, 85 nt
Organism: Mycena sp. CBHHK59/15
Lineage: Eukaryota; Fungi; Basidiomycota; Agaricomycetes; Agaricales; Mycenaceae
Source: the annotation of a GenBank genome assembly